UGAAAGUUCAUACUACCGUUGACAACUGU
This 29-nucleotide small RNA is filed under the name Bombyx mori (domestic silkworm). RNAcentral describes it as "ovarian small RNA-30513". The record is from RNAcentral. Lineage: Eukaryota; Metazoa; Arthropoda; Insecta; Lepidoptera; Bombycidae.